AGACCCGAAACCCGGUGAUCUAGCCAUGGGCAGGUUGAAGGUUGGGUAACACUAACUGGAGGACCGAACCGACUAAUGUUGAAAAAUUAGCGGAUGACCUGUGGCUGGGGGUGAAAGGCCAAUCAAACCGGGAGAUAGCUGGUUCUCCCCGAAAGCUAUUUAGGUAGCGCCUCGUGAAUUCAUCUCCGGGGGUAGAGCACUGUUUCGGCUAGGGGGCCAUCCCGGCUUACCAACCCGAUGCAAACUGCGAAUACCGGAGAAUGUUAUCACGGGAGACACACGGCGGGUGCUAACGUCCGUCGUGAAGAGGGAAACAACCCAGACCGCCAGCUAAGGUCCCAAAGUCAUGGUUAAGUGGGAAACGAUGUGGGAAGGCCCAGACAGCCAGGAUGUUGGCUUAGAAGCAGCCAUCAUUUAAAGAAAGCGUAAUAGCUCACUGGUCGAGUCGGCCUGCGCGGAAGAUGUAACGGGGCUAAACCAUGCACCGAAGCUGCGGCAGCGAACGUAUCACCCAAGACAACUUUACGGAGUUGACGAUUGACGGAGCGAAGCGACGUCAAAGCGUUCAUUAAAGUCGAGUUGGCUUAGGGAUACGUUCGUUGGGUAGGGGAGCGUUCUGUAAGCCUGUGAAGGUGUGUCGUGAGGCAUGCUGGAGGUAUCAGAAGUGCGAAUGCUGACAUAAGUAACGAUAAAGCGGGUGAAAAGCCCGCUCGCCGGAAGACCAAGGGUUCCUGUCCAACGUUAAUCGGGGCAGGGUGAGUCGACCCCUAAGGCGAGGCCGAAAGGCGUAGUCGAUGGGAAACGGGUUAAUAUUCCCGUACUUGGUGUUACUGCGAAGGGGGGACGGAGAAGGCUAUGUUGGCCGGGCGACGGUUGUCCCGGUUUAAGCGUGUAGGUGUGUGUUCCAGGUAAAUCCGGUUCACUUUAACACUGAGGCGUGACGACGAGGCACUACGGUGCUGAAGCAACAAAUGCCCUGCUUCCAGGAAAAGCCUCUAAGCAUCAGGUAACAUCAAAUCGUACCCCAAACCGACACAGGUGGUCAGGUAGAGAAUACCAAGGCGCUUGAGAGAACUCGGGUGAAGGAACUAGGCAAAAUGGUGCCGUAACUUCGGGAGAAGGCACGCUGACACGUAGGUGAAGUGAUUUACUCAUGGAGCUGAAGUCAGUCGAAGAUACCAGCUGGCUGCAACUGUUUAUUAAAAACACAGCACUGUGCAAACACGAAAGUGGACGUAUACGGUGUGACGCCUGCCCGGUGCCGGAAGGUUAAUUGAUGGGGUCAGCGCAAGCGAAGCUCCUGAUCGAAGCCCCGGUAAACGGCGGCCGUAACUAUAACGGUCCUAAGGUAGCGAAAUUCCUUGUCGGGUAAGUUCCGACCUGCACGAAUGGCGUAAUGAUGGCCAGGCUGUCUCCACCCGAGACUCAGUGAAAUUGAACUCGCUGUGAAGAUGCAGUGUACCCGCGGCAAGACGGAAAGACCCCGUGAACCUUUACUAUAGCUUGACACUGAACAUUGAGCCUUGAUGUGUAGGAUAGGUGGGAGGCUUUGAAGUGUGGACGCCAGUCUGCAUGGAGCCGACCUUGAAAUACCACCCUUUAAUGUUUGAUGUUCUAACGUGGACCCGUAAUCCGGGUUGCGGACAGUGUCUGGUGGGUAGUUUGACUGGGGCGGUCUCCUCCUAAAGAGUAACGGAGGAGCACGAAGGUUGGCUAAUCCUGGUCGGACAUCAGGAGGUUAGUGCAAUGGCAUAAGCCAGCUUGACUGCGAGCGUGACGGCGCGAGCAGGUGCGAAAGCAGGUCAUAGUGAUCCGGUGGUUCUGAAUGGAAGGGCCAUCGCUCAACGGAUAAAAGGUACUCCGGGGAUAACAGGCUGAUACCGCCCAAGAGUUCAUAUCGACGGCGGUGUUUGGCACCUCGAUGUCGGCUCAUCACAUCCUGGGGCUGAAGUAGGUCCCAAGGGUAUGGCUGUUCGCCAUUUAAAGUGGUACGCGAGCUGGGUUUAGAACGUCGUGAGACAGUUCGGUCCCUAUCUGCCGUGGGCGCUGGAGAACUGAGGGGGGCUGCUCCUAGUACGAGAGGACCGGAGUGGACGCAUCACUGGUGUUCGGGUUGUCAUGCCAAUGGCACUGCCCGGUAGCUAAAUGCGGAAGAGAUAAGUGCUGAAAGCA
Molecule: ribosomal RNA, 2172 nt
Filed under: Salmonella enterica subsp. enterica
Lineage: Bacteria; Pseudomonadati; Pseudomonadota; Gammaproteobacteria; Enterobacterales; Enterobacteriaceae
Description: partial 23S ribosomal RNA
Rfam family: Bacterial large subunit ribosomal RNA
Source: RNAcentral